This 520-nucleotide ribosomal RNA is filed under the name uncultured bacterium. RNAcentral describes it as "bacterial SSU rRNA". It matches the Rfam family "Bacterial small subunit ribosomal RNA", at positions 29 to 518 of the family's 1533-position model. The record is from RNAcentral.
ACGAACGCUGGCGGCGUGCCUAAUACAUGCAAGUCGAAACGGUCUUUCUAUGGAAGCUUGCUUCCACUGAGAAGAUAGUGGCGAACGGGUGAGUAACACGUGGGUAACCUGCCCAUAAGAGGGGGAUAACAUCCGGAAACGGGUGCUAAUACCGGCAUAGUUUUCUUGAUCGCAUGAUUGAGAAAGGAAAGACGGCCUUUGUGCUGUUGCUUAUGGAUGGACCCGCGGCGUAUUAGUUAGUUGGUGAGGUAAUGGCUCACCAAGACGAUGAUACGUAGCCGACCUGAGAGGGUGAUCGGCCACAUUGGGACUGAGACACGGCCCAAACUCCUACGGGAGGCAGCAGUAGGGAAUCUUCCGCAAUGGACGAAAGUCUGACGGGAGCAACGCCGCGUGAGUGAAGAAGGUUUUUCCGGAUCGUAAAACUCUGUUGUCAGAGAAGAACAAGUUGGAGAAUAACUGCUCCAGCCUUGACGGUAUCUGACCAGAAAGCCACGGCUAACUACGUGCCAGCCGCAGC